Molecule: ribosomal RNA, 377 nt
Filed under: uncultured bacterium
Lineage: Bacteria
Description: bacterial SSU rRNA
Rfam family: Bacterial small subunit ribosomal RNA
Source: RNAcentral
UCUUGCGCAAUGGGCGAAAGCCUGACGCAGCAAUUCCGCGUGGGGGACGAAGGCCCCCGGGUCGUAAACCCCUUUUACGAGGGAAGAAGUUCUGACGGUACCUCGUGAAUAAGCCACGGCUAACUACGUGCCAGCAGCCGCGGUAAUACGUAGGUGGCGAGCGUUGUCCGGAUUUAUUGGGCGUAAAGAGCCCGCAGGCGGCCUGUUAAGUUUCAGGUGAAAUCUCCCGGCUCAACUGGGAGGGGUCCUGGAAAACUGGCAGGCUUGAGGCAGGGAGAGGGAUGUGGAAUUCCCGGUGUAGUGGUGAAAUGCGUAGAUAUCGGGAGGAACACCAGUGGCGAAGGCGGCAUCCCGGCCCUUCCUGACGUCAGGGGCGA